GGGGAUGUCGGCCACGUGCGCCGUGUCCCGGAAAGCGCCGCCGCCGCUCUCCCGGGGCGAGGGGGAUCCGCCGACCAAAGUGAUGCGCAGGGGGCUGCGGAGAGGCCACGAGGAGGAGCGGGAGGAGCUGCCGUGGCCGGGAGAGAGCGCGUGCGGCCGGGGCGCGGAGCCCGAGGGGGAGCAGGCGGCCCCGCUCAGGGACGAGCGGCGGAGGCGGCGGCCGCUGGAGCCGAGGGCGCUGGCGGCGGCGGCCAGGGAGGAGGAGGAGGAACGUCUGGAGCGGGAGCAUUUCCGGAGGAUCAUCAACGCCUUCCGAUAUUACGGAACGAAUAUGCAUGAACGAGUGAACAGAACAGAGAGGCAGUUUAAGUCUCUCCCAGCUAACCAACAGAGUCUUCUUCCUCAAUUUCUUCCACACCUUGACAAGAUUCGGAAGUGCAUUGAUCAUAAUCAAGAGAUACUACAGACCAUUGUGAAUGACUGCGUUCAUAUGUUUGAAAAUAAAGAAUAUGGAGAAGACGGAAGCGGGAAGAUAACACCAGCUUCAACAUUUGACAUGGAUAAAUUAAAGUCCACAUUGAAACAAUUUGUGAGAGACUGGAGUGAAGAGGGAAAGUCUGAGAGAGAUUCCUGCUACCAGCCAAUCAUUAGUGAAAUUGUAAAGAACUUUCCAAAAGAAAGAUGGGAUUUCUCCAAAGUUAAUAUCCUGGUACCUGGUGCUGGGCUAGGUAGAUUGGCGUGGGAAAUAGCUAUGCUCGGUUAUGCUUGCCAAGGAAAUGAAUGGAGCCUCUUUAUGCUCUUUUCUUCUAACUUUGUACUCAACAGAUGCUCUGAAAUUAACUCAUGUAAGCUUUAUCCCUGGAUUCAUCAAUUUAGCAAUAACAGAAGAUCUGCUGAUCAGAUACGACCAAUUUAUUUCCCAGAUGUUGAUCCUCACAGUCUUCCUUCUGGUUCAAACUUCUCUAUGACUGCAGGGGAUUUUCAAGAAAUUUAUUCUGAGUGCAAUACGUGGGACUGUGUAGCAACUUGCUUUUUCAUAGAUACAGCACAUAAUGUUAUUGAUUACAUUGAUACUAUAUGGAAAAUACUAAAGCCUGGAGGAAUAUGGAUAAAUGUCCUCUCCUUUACCAUUUUGAAAACUUGGGAAAUGAACUUUCUAUAGAAUUAAGCUAUGAGGAUAUAAAAAAUGUUAUCCUACAAUAUGGAUUCCAUAUAGAGGUGGAGAAAGAAUCUGUACUGUCAACUUACACUGUGAAUGAACUCUCCAUGAUGAAAUACUACUAUGAAUGCGUGUUGUUUGUGGUGAGAAAACCAGAAUAGUAGUGGUCUAAAUAGGUUAAUGAGAAAAAAACUGUUGGCUUGAAAGCUAGAAAUGAGGGUAAAAUGGUCUGGGUGAUGUAUGAACACAACCUCACAUAGUGGUGCCUUCUUAUUCCUAAGAGGAUAUAGAUAGUGUCUAUUUUCUUAAUAUCUCUAUUGCUGUUCGGACAUACACUAUGCCAUGCAUAUUUGUAAUAUACUUGUGAAGGUGAAGGAUGUAAUGUUCACAUACACUGUCAUUGUGCUUUGGAGUGCAUUAGAAAUAAAAGCAAAAAUGUUUUCUUGAGAACAAAAUUAAAUGUUUGCCAUAAGUAGGCUAAUUCUCUGCAUAUGCUGCCUAAUAUUUCAUAGAUUUAUAGUGAUUUUUUCUAUUAUCUGAUAUUAGGAAUGCAUGGAGGUGCUUACUGUGUCAUGUUUAGAGAAGUAUUUUUAAAUGUAUACUUAAAUUAUGAAGUCUGAAAUGGUUGGAAAGUGGUAAAAUUAUUCUUGACAGAUAAAAUAGCCAUCAAAACUGGUAGAGCAUUUUCUGUGGAACUGAAAUGAAGUAGAUUAUUGUAUAAAUGCUAAUCUCUGACUGUACCACUGUUAACAGUUUAAUUAAAACACAGAGCCUGUGGGCAAUUUGAAAUACUAUAUGAAAGCAGAAUACUGAGUGAAGAAAAAGCAAUGUGUCACAGAGAAGCAGUAUGAUAACCUCAGUUGAGGAAUACUACCAAUUUUGAUUGAGCUUUGUGUUGAAACUGAAAUGUGUUAGAUGCUUUGCCAUCUUGUAAUACACUGAUUUUGAGUCAUCUGACUGCUUAAGCUAAAACUUCCAAAGUUGAUAAACAUAGCUGAGUUAUCCAUGCCAUGUGUAGGUAGUACAACAUAAAAACAUCUGUCGGGGCAGUGAAGUUAUGAGAAAUAAAAUACAUUUUUUUUUAUUACAAAACAAAAUUAUAGGCGCAUUGUGAAGUUGUAAGGUAUGCAGUUCCAAACUGGACUGGGUACCAGGGUUCUUUUGCGGCCGGGAUAAGGGAAAUAUAAAGUUCCUAAAAAUUAAAAUUAAAAAUUAAUUUUCGGAGAAAAGGAAGCCUUUUUAGGUAAAAAUUAAUAUAUUAAACUUAUCUGAAAAAGGAUGGGAUUUUGUAAAACUAUAAAAUACAUGAAGUUUAAACCCAAGGGGUUUUUCUCCCCAGGACCUUGGUGUGAGAUGAGACCGGCUCAUGCUGAAUAAACCUUUCCUUGGUGAUACAGUUCCUUUGUUUCAUAGGUAAUUGAAUCUUUCUAAAUUAAAUAACAAGAGAUUUCUCACAAAGUUACGUGUAAAUAUGUCCUAUAACCUAAUCACCUCUGCAUGAGUCAGGAUAUGCAGGAUAACUACAGACACUUUAUCCUUCUGACUUCUUGGCUUGUUCCUUAUACUAAUGUGUUUUUUUCCUAGCAGAUGUUGCUUAGGUGAAUAUUUAACGUACAAGUCAUGAUACUAUACAAGAGGCUGAAUCUCCUGUCACUUGGAAGUUAUGAUGUACAUGAGAACAUUAAUUAAUAAUCACUAUUCUGAGUGGAGGUGUCAUGUUAAGUAUUUUGUUUUCUUAAUAUAUUAAUUACCUUAAGUAUCAUUUUCACGCAUUUUCAAAAUGGUCUUUAAAAUAUAAAAGCAUUAUGAGGGCUCAAGUUUUUUUCAUAUUUGGCCUUAAUGACACUGGUCAAUAUCUUGUUUAUUUCCCAUUAUUUUUAGUCCUGUCUUUCUUGGUGGUGUCCUAAUCACCUCCCUUUAAUAGAUUUGUUAUGGCUUUUGGAUUUUUCCAAUUAAGGCCAGAAAUUUGUGCUUUUAUUCCUAAAUUCAAAAUCUGCAAGGAAGAAAAACACCAACUUUUUUUUUUAUAGUUUGAACACCACAUAAGAAAGCACGCAUCUGUAUAUCUUUCAGUACUUUGCCCCUUUCCAUUCAGAAUCCGUAUUGAAAUAGAGGUUUCUGGUCAACAGCAGUUUUUAAGUAUACCAUGACUUAAACUAGUCUUACUUGAACUCUUUCUAAAAGUGCACCACCAUGACUCAGUUCCACAAAUGAGGUAUCAAAGGUCAACCCUGCUCCAAGAGAGAUGUGUUUCAAGAAGAAACAAUGCUAUUGCAACAUAAAAUUAAAAAUAAAAAUCCUUGCACACUUAAAAAUAAAAAAGCCACUUGCUUUAAUUUCUGUAUUGUACCAUUUACUUUAAUUUUUGAGGGAAUUUAUGAUUCUUUGCUUUAAAUCUGCUUUUUUUCUACCAGAAUAUGAUUAGCAUUUUACUUAAUUUUCAAGCUCCUUGGAAUCAGACAUAGCUUAAGUGAAUGUAAAUUGUGCUAUUACUGAGUAGUAUAUCUAUCUGUAAUGUUACCCAAUUUCUGCCUCCUAGCCCGUCUGUAACUUGGAAUGUGGUGUUCCUGCUUUUCACGAAUAGGCAAUGGGACUCUUUCUUUCUGGUUGAAUGUCAUUAUCCUUUGUUCUGGUAGUUUUGUUCCUUGCCACCCCAUGUAGUCACAGUUGCCAUUUUUAUGUAUUUUCUGAAAAUGUUUUUAUUUGCUUACAUCAGGUAUAAUAUGGUGGUGUGCUUUUAUUUCUGAUCUAGAAAAUGCCAUCUUCCCCGCACAGUGUUCUUUUAAAUCGCAACAGUCACAUUAAGAGUUGGAAGUAAAAUAAUCUUGUGAGUGAGCUGUGUUAGUAGUGUUCUACCUACCUAUUUAUGAGUUCCUAGAAUUCACCACUUGUACUGUUAUGAGGGUCGUUGUGUAUUAUAGAAUGUGAUCACUGUUCUAUUCGGUUGUAUACGUGGGGGAGAAUGUCCAAGGCGUUCAUCAGAUGAGACUGUUUACUUUAGGUCGUUAUUAAACUGUACAUAGUAACAGAUGUAAAAUAAACUGCUGCAUAACCUUAAGUGUAAAGCUUCUUUAUAUGGAGUUUGACAAAUGUAAAAUGGCCUGGGUUUUUUUGUUCCUUUAUUUGUUUGGGUUUUUUACGUGGUACAUUCUGAAAUUGGUUGCGAAGAUAAGGAUGAAAAGUUUCACGUCUCUGCGUCCACUUCCCGCUAUUUUACAGAGUGUGUAAUGGACCUGUGGCUUUUUGGAUAUUAAAGCUUGGGGCAUGCCUUGA
Lepidothrix coronata (blue-crowned manakin) is the source of this 4432-nucleotide RNA transcript. It is a transcript of the gene named carnosine N-methyltransferase 1, with no coding region annotated. The transcript is spliced from 8 exons. The record is from RefSeq and is a predicted model, not a curated record. NCBI's taxonomy places the organism in Eukaryota, Metazoa, Chordata, Aves, Passeriformes, Pipridae.